UGAGCUCAAAUCAGGUAGGACUACCCGCUGAACUUAAGCAUAUCAAUAAGC
RNAcentral lists this ribosomal RNA (51 nucleotides) under Irpex lacteus. RNAcentral describes it as "partial 28S ribosomal RNA". Lineage: Eukaryota; Fungi; Basidiomycota; Agaricomycetes; Polyporales; Irpicaceae. RNAcentral also lists the same sequence under 1 other name. The record is from RNAcentral.